AGUUCAGACUGCAGGCUGCAACUCGCCUGCACGAAGUCGGAAUUGCUAGUAAUCGUAGGUCAGCAUACUACGGUGAAUACGUUCCCGGGCCUUGUACACACCGCCCGUCAAACCAUGAGAGUUGACAACACCCGAAGUCGGUAGUCUAACCGCAAGGAGGACGCCGCCGAAGGUGGGGUUGAUGAUUAGGGUUAAGUCGUAACAAGGUAAC
RNAcentral lists this ribosomal RNA (211 nucleotides) under uncultured bacterium. RNAcentral's name for it is "partial 16S ribosomal RNA". It matches the Rfam family "Bacterial small subunit ribosomal RNA", at positions 1290 to 1500 of the family's 1533-position model. The record is from RNAcentral.